CCAGCUAGCAACAUCCAAGACUUUGGGGCACAAAAGUAUUGGAAUGAAUGAGCUAAUUAAACGUAGUAAUAUGCAAACCACCUAUCAACCAUGGCAAGACAUUCCAUAGGCUUGUAUUCUGGAGCUGAGUGGCCACCUCCCUGUACAGGUCUCCAUUAUUUUAGUUAUCUUUUUUUCUUUCAGAUAACUAGUUGAGAAAAAUUAAGCAGGAUUUUCAGUUCUUGCCUUUACAGUAACAAAUGUCAAACUGUACGCUUUCAGUGUAUAUGCAUUGGUGUACCUUAGAAAAAAAGAUAAUUUAAUUAAUUAAAUAAGAAAUUGCAGUGACAUUAUGAAAAUUGAUAGUAGCAAGCAACCAACCCUGCAACUUGGCCAUUAACAAACCAUGGUCUCCAUUGGUAAUCAACACUCAAAUUUAGAGAUUUUAUCCAUUCUCGAGUGCCCACAUAUGGAAUAAUCAUGUCAUGAUCACCACUGUACCCAAAAAAAAAAAAAAUCUACAAAUUAACUUUGAUAUAUUUCAGACAGAAGAAUACUGAAUUCAUCGGUUUUUUCACACAAACGGUCGUGGAUUUUUUACGGAUAGACAAAAUUUGGAAAUGGAGAAAAUUAAGAAUAUUAACUAGUGUACCUGUAAACCAGUGCUCUAAGGUUUUUCUUGGUGAGAUUUCGAUGAUAGUCGAUACUAGUUCUAACAUCAUAUACAUAAUUGCUAAAUAAACUCUGAUUGCAUCUCUCCCAACCCUUUAUUGUUCCCUGUUAGGUUGUAAUGGCAAAAGUGCUUAAGUGAAAUUAAUUAUAUAGGUAUUGUAAUUCUCAAAAUUAUAACAUACCUCUCGAACGUUUAGAGCAUUUUGGACAGUUUUGUCAUUAGCCCAAAUGAAGCAGAAGAUAUAGUUAUAACUCUGCAACCAAGUACUACGGUAUUAGCAUGAAACAUAGUUCAGUCAUGUACAUGUAAUUUGACUCCAUUGCUAACCGAACUAAUUAUAGGACUAAAAUUUCCAAAGUCAAAGUGAAAAACAAGUCAAAUUAUAAGGAUAAAAAAUAUGUAAUUUGACCCAAAUUCAUUAGAGUAUAUAUUGUGCGACAGUAAGCCAGCCAGAAAUUUACACGACACCAUGAUUUCGUAGAAUAAUGCAGCACAUCUAACAAGUCCUCUUCAGCAAAGUUCUGAUCCCAUUUGAAUCUUUUUGGUUUUGGAGACAGAGUACUACACUUUGGCUCCAAGAUUUGUGCAAGAUUUAUCUUUUGGAUGCACUGCAAAUUUGUUAAGUGGUAAAUCGAUAUUCAGUAUCACACUUCAAUAUAUAAUAAAUGCAAACCAAGGACGUAGUAAUUCUCACCUCAUUGACUUCUUGGAGGUUUUUCACACAAGGUGCAUUGCUUGGAUCUACUUGAACAUACUCUCCCUUGCAAUUUGUUUUAGUUGACUAUAUAUAUACAUAUAUAUAUAUAUAUAAUACGAAGAGAUUAGCUCUCAAAUUAAGCAUUUAUUUUAUUUUUUUGCUACAUGAUUUGUACGAAAAUUAGUUGAGCACUUUUGUUUAUUUUUUUGCACAUGUUGGCAGUAGGAAUACAACUCUCGCUCUUCUUUCUUCAAAGUUUAAAUAAACAAGAAAACAUAUUUAUACCUCAUAGAGUUCAUUGGAUAUAAGUGCCAUGCGAUGAGCAUACUGAAUUCGUGAGUUUACGUCAUAUGUUGGUUCUGUCCAUGGGUUGCCAAGCACGUAACCCUGAGUUCAAUCAAACAACAUUUACUUAUCCAAGACAAUGUUUCUUUACUUGAUACUAAAAAUGUGGUAAAUACUCGCCCCAAAAGAAAAAAAAAUCUAUGUUUGAAUGUACCUUUUUUUUUUUUUUUUGGGAUCCAAGUGAUAUUGACGGAGGAAGAAUUCGAACUUCGGUAUAAAUGUCAGAUUUUACUCAUGCAUUAUAAUCAUUACAUUUCGUACUAAGGACUCAUAAUUACGAGGUUUUUCUUUGGUAAGAAAAAUAUUUUACUCCAAUCACACAUUAAAAUGAUUUUUUUUUUUUUUUUUUCAAAGUUAGGAAGGAGGAGGUGAGUUUUUUCACACAAACUUCCAAGGUGGUAUGAGGAUUCAAACUUGAGACUAUUGAUAUCCAAAUCAAAACUCUUUUUCACUCAUCUCGUACUCGUCUCAUAAAAUAAUUAAGAACCAGAGACUAAGACCGGAAGACAGCACAAAAAGCAAAAGUUCAUUACAGAAAGCAGAAAAAAAAAAAAAAAAAAAAAAAAGAUUGUAAUGAGCUAUAUUAGGAUUACAAGCUAAAAUCAAAUGAGCAGAAAACAACCAUAAGAGCCCAAUCGAACGCACACAAAAGGAGAAGGGCUAACGAGGACUAAAAGGGAAGACAAGUAUCUCAAAUUUAAAAUCAGAUAGAAUUCUUACUUUGAGAUUCAUUGGCGGUUCAUGCCCAGCUUCGUUACCUACAACAGUUCAGAUUUAGGAGACUUCUCAUAAUUUAGGUCAAAUAAAGUUAGGACUCGUUUGAUAACCAUUUAGUGAAACAACUGAAAAGGUUUUCAUUCCCAACAAAAGUUACCGUUGGAUACUUGUUGAGCAACGAUGGGAACGGUUAUGCCUGAAUAUGAAUCACCAGCAAUAUAUAGUGGAUUUUUCAGAAAUUGAGGGUGAUCUUUAAGCCACUGCAGCACCAUUAUAUACAUCACAACAAUUAAUAAAUUAAUUAAUAAGAUUUAACAAUGUAAUUUUCAAACCUUUGUAAAUUACUUUGCCAAAUUUUGACCUUCCUUAGAAAUUCAUAGGUCUGAGUACAUGAUAAUGUAUCACCGGUCCGGUAUUCUUCCCAACUUUUUGCAUAGGAAUAUCCAGUACCAACAGGUUGAUCCAAAAAUAUUACGUUGGCAAUCUGAACAUUUUUCAAUAUGCAUUCGGGGUCAAGUUAUUGACAAAUCAUAAAUUAAUUAGCAGUAGGUUUCUCUCUGAUCUUACCUUUGUCCAUGCGUAUGGAUUCAACAAAAAUGUUGGUUCGUUCCCACUAGAAUUUGCGUAGUUGAAAAUUAAUGGACCUACCAAAAAUAUUUUUAUCAAAUGCAAAGUCAAUUGAUAUCCUUUAUAGGAUGAUCACAAAUGCUUUGUGCAUGUUGGGUGGAGAUCAACGAUGUCUUGUUCCAAUCCAAAAAAAGAAAAAAGAAAAAAGAAAAACAGAUGAGGUUAUCAAAUUGUUAUAUGAUAACAACCAUUAAUUCUUUGAUGUUACUGUACACUGACCUAUAGAUAGCUAGCUUCCAGUCAAAAUCCAACUAAUGGUUUUGUACAGUUUCAAAAUAAUUCUGGAGGGGGAAUUCCUGGUUCAGCAAUAUACGGAGUAAUUUUUUGAUUUGUUGUCAAACUGUAAAUGAGAAUUGUUGAUCAUAUAAUAUAAGUGGAGGGUACGAUAUACAGAGUUGAGAUAAUAAUGUACCUAUACUGUCGUAUACCAUGGCAGUAAAAGAAGAGCAACCAGGACCUCCGCUGAGCCAAAGCAGUAAAGGAUCUUCCUUGGGACUUCUCUCCGACUCGAUGAAGAAAUAAAACAACUGAAUAUCAUCCAAAUUGCCCACCCCAACGUACCUUUAUAUAAUUUAAAUCAUAAUUUUCAUUCUCAUCAUUGCAAUUGGUACGUAUUAAUUGAUAUAGAGUAUAAUUCAUAGAGGGAACCAAAAAAAAAAAAAAAUUAAUUAAUUAGUACCAUAUACCAUAGAAAUAUCCUUUCAUUCACAGCAAAGCAUGAAAGAGAUGAACAACUAAACUGAGAGAGGAGAACACAUAAGGACACCUCUAUAUAGAUGCGAAAACAAGACUCCGAUUUGAAAACAAAAACAAAAACAAAGACAAAGAAAUACCAACCCGGUUUCAAGUUUGAAGGGGAGGUCGCCGGAAAAACCCGGUAGGGUGUUGAUGAUGGAUGAUGAAGCAACGAUGUGACAACAAUGAAGGAGGAGGAGCAGAAGAAGUGCUUGCGGAAACAUGGUGAGGUUGGAGCUGUAACAGUACAUGCACUAGGAUUAGAAGGCUAUGUUUUUUACUAAGUACAAUAACAUAUUAUUUUUUAAAGUGGUAAUGCGAAGUGACUGGAGAGAAUGUUUGGUGAGUAAUAAAUAAUUUCCUUAACAAACGUGUUAGGCACACGUGAUCUUGCCCUAAACCAAGUUGCAACGUUAGUUUUUGUAAUAUUUUUGUUGCAUUUUUGUUCUCGUAGUUAGGUUUCAUUUUCACCCAUCCGUCGGCGAAGUUGGUCUCCCAUGAGAUAUGGACAAACAAUAUACAAAU
This 4298-nucleotide long non-coding RNA is filed under the name Prunus persica (peach). RNAcentral describes it as "long non-coding RNA (PPER_LNC008391)". Lineage: Eukaryota; Viridiplantae; Streptophyta; Magnoliopsida; Rosales; Rosaceae. The record is from RNAcentral.